RNAcentral lists this small RNA (2185 nucleotides) under Pan troglodytes (chimpanzee). RNAcentral describes it as "retained intron". Lineage: Eukaryota; Metazoa; Chordata; Mammalia; Primates; Hominidae. The record is from RNAcentral.
GAUGCAUAUGAGCUUCAGGAGAGAAAGAUGGGGGGCAGAGGUGGUGAGAAGAAGAGGAGGAGAUUUCCAUGAAGGGAGAGGAGCCCAGUACUGAGAAUGGAUGGGAGAGGAGAGGAAGAGGGUGGAGUGGGCUCUGCCCCACAGUCCCCCAGAGCCCUGGCUCAGACACCUUCCUCCAGGCCCAGGGGCCCUCUAGCCUCCACUGCCCUAGCCCCAGACUGCUCACCUCCUCUGCCCUCUACCCUCCUGUGACAGCAGGGAAACUGAGACCUGGAGAGGGAGGUGGCAUCCAGAUUUGGGCCCCUUUGUCCCCUUGUAAGUUCCCCUGCUUCCCCCUGAACCCCACAGGCUUAGGGAGCCCAAAUGGCUACAGAUCUGGUAAAGCUGGUGGCGGGGUGCUUGGGGAGGGUGGCACACCGGCUCCCAGCUGCUCCAGCACCCCGGGCUCAACAUCUCACUUCUCCCACAGUCUAUGGCCCCCACAGUGGCCUGGGAGCAGGAUUCGUGGUCAGGCAUGGGCUGGGAACCCAGCCAGGUGAGAGCCGUGGGGUCCCCUCCUUCCCUCCCUCCCAGGCCUCAGACGGAAGAGGCAGGAUUGGAGAGAUUGUUGGGGGGAGGCGCAGAGAGCCUCUCAGGUUUGCUGGUGUCUGGUUUAGUCCAAGGGGGGGUUCAAGGGUCUUGUACCCCCACCUCAGCUGGGACCCCAAACCUCCUCAGCUCACCUCUCUCUCUCCCACGAGCCCUUCCACUCAGAAUGGCUAUGGAGCAGGUAGAGAUGGGAGUGGGGGAGCUGGAAGCCAGGAUUCUAGGGGUAUCCCUGGGAUGGGGAUUCCUGAGCCCCUCAUCUGAUCCCCCUCUCUUUCCCAGACACUGAAGGGGGCAUGAAACCCCAAAACCUAGGUGAGGCUCGCCCAGCCCCUGCCUGCCUCCCUCCUCCUGACUCCCUCCUGCCUUCUCGCCCCAGGGUUCAGGACCUUCGCAGGUGCUGCAGCCCAGCCAGGAUAUGGAAACGGGCUGGGAGCAGCGGCCUUCCCAGUGGCCGGAGCCCAGUCAGGAUUGGGGAGCAGAAGUGGUUUGGGCGCUGGCACUCUUCCAGGGGCAGGAACCCCACCAGGAUACAACAAUGGAAACGGACCGGGAACCCAGCCAGGUCGGGGCCGAAGGGGCUGGGGUGGCUGGGGGAGAGGUCAGGGGCCCAGGGCCACACUCUGGGUCCCAACAGAUGGGCUCUUGGGGGUUCAUUCAUUCACCCAAUCUCCCCUGAGCACCCGUCCCAAGCCAGGCCUCGGCUGGCCAUGGAGGACACCCAAGCUGGUCAAGGGUGGCCACGGUCUGGACUCCCGGGCCAAGAACCAAAUCCAACUUUGACUGCAGUCAGGCCUGGGAGGGAGUUCACACAAGACAGAAAGGGAGAGGGCAGGGCUCCAGGCCCCAGCUCAUCCCCACUGCACCACCAUCCACACUCCUGUGUCUGCCCUCAAACAGGUCCUGCCGCUCAAAAUGGCUUUGGACCAGGUAAAGAGGGUGGGGACGGAAGCGGGGAGCCUGGGGCUGCGAUUCUGGGCACAGGCCCAGAGGAAAGGAUCCCUCACCCUCUCAUCUUCCCCCCAGGCUUUGGAGGGGGUGGAAAACCCCAGAAGCCAGGCGAGCCACUCCCUGUCCCUGUCUCCCUGCCCAUUUCCUAUGCAUCCGCCGCUGCUUCCCUAGAGUCCCUGAUCUCCCCAUUCUCUUUGGCUCUGUCCCCUGGGAUUUGGGAAUAGGAAUGGGUGGGGAGUCGGGGCCUUCCUGGGAGCUGGAACCCAGGCAGGUGAGGCCCUGGAGUUCUGGGAGCAUGGAGGUCUUAGGGGGUGGGGGUUACUGAUGUAGGGGCCUGGCCCUGGUCCUGAGCAGAGAGGAAGAGAUGGGUGGACUCACAGGAAGUCCUUCCCCUUCUCUUCCCAGGCCUGGGAGGGGGACUAAAGCCUCAGAGAGCAGGCGAGCCCCAAUCUCUAGCCUCCCAACUUGGUCUCACACAACAAACCUCAUUCGACAAACCAAUCCAGGCCUGGAGCAGUGGCUAACACCUGUAAUCCCAACAGUUCGGGAGGCAGAGUUAGGUGGAUCAAUUGAGCCCAAGAGUUCAAGACCAGCCUGGGCAACAUUCCCAAACUGGUCUUGAACUCUUGGGCUCAAGCAAUCCAUCUAC